UACGAAGGGGGCUAGCGUUGCUCGGAAUCACUGGGCGUAAAGCGCACGUAGGCGGCUUUUAAGUCAGGGGUGAAAUCCUGGAGCUCAACUCCAGAACUGCCUUUGAUACUGAGAAGCUUGAGUCCGGAGAGGUGAGUGGAACUGCGAGUGUAGAGGUGAAAUUCGUAGAUAUUCGCAAGAACACCAGUGGCGAAGGCGGCUCACUGGCCCGGUACUGACGCUGAGGUGCGAAAGCGUGGGAGCAACAGGG
RNAcentral lists this ribosomal RNA (250 nucleotides) under uncultured bacterium. RNAcentral's name for it is "partial 16S ribosomal RNA". It matches the Rfam family "Bacterial small subunit ribosomal RNA", at positions 524 to 776 of the family's 1533-position model. The record is from RNAcentral.